Non-coding RNA from Pelobates cultripes (western spadefoot toad), 379 nucleotides. The record is from the annotation of a GenBank genome assembly. NCBI's taxonomy places the organism in Eukaryota, Metazoa, Chordata, Amphibia, Anura, Pelobatidae.
GCCGCGUCGGGAUCUUGGGCUUCUCCCAAGUCUGCCCAGAAGUGUCUAAGCGCCUGAGAGACUGCUUCACCAUGCAAUGGUAAUCUCCGCUGGAUUGCACAGGAGGGUGCUUCGGAAUGAGUGGCGCAUCCACCAUUUUGCGGAGACCUGUGUCUCUGAUUUUGUGUGUGCCUGUGCGUUUGUCUAGAAGCAAUAGAGAGGAGUGCUUUGAGCUAGUGGGGAACGGAAUGACCCACCACCAGUCCACAGGGGAAGGAACGUGGCAGCAAAGAGUCCUCAGAGUAUUUGUGGGGCUUAUACCGGGAGAUCGGCCGCCUCUCCCAGGAAAAAGGCCUCUAGUCGUGCUAGGCCGCAGGACCUCUUGAAUCACACACCAAAG